UGGGGAAUAUUGCACAAUGGAGGGAACUCUGAUGCAGCGACGCCGCGUGAACGAAGAAGGCUUUCGAGUCGUAAAGUUCUUUUAUAUGGGAAGAUAAUGACGGUACCAUAAGAAAAAGCCCCGGCUAACUACGUGCCAGCAGCCGCGGUAAUACGUAGGGGGCUAGCGUUGUCCGGAAUCACUGGGCGUAAAGGGUUCGCAGGCGGAAAUGCAAGUCAGGUGUAAAAGGCAGUAGCUUAACUACUGUAAGCAUUUGAAACUGCAUAUCUUGAGAAGAGUAGAGGUAAGUGGAAUUUUUGGUGUAGCGGUGAAAUGCGUAGAUAUGAAAAAGAAUACCGGUGGCGAAGGCGACUUACUGGGCUCAUUCUGACGCUGAGGAACGAAAGCGUGGGUAGCAAACAGG
This 403-nucleotide ribosomal RNA is filed under the name Fusobacteriota bacterium. RNAcentral describes it as "Fusobacteria bacterium partial 16S ribosomal RNA". It matches the Rfam family "Bacterial small subunit ribosomal RNA", at positions 355 to 776 of the family's 1533-position model. Lineage: Bacteria; Fusobacteriati; Fusobacteriota. The record is from RNAcentral.